UACGUAGGGUGUGAGCGUUGUCCGGAAUUAUUGGGCGUAAAGAGCUCGUAGGCGGUUUGUUGCGUCUAUCGUGAAAACCUGCGGCUUAACUGUGGGCUUGCGGUGGAUACGGGCAGACUUGAGUUCGGUAGGGGAGACUGGAAUUCCUGGUGUAGCGGUGAAAUGCGCAGAUAUCAGGAGGAACACCGGUGGCGAAGGCGGGUCUCUGGGCCGAUACUGACGCUGAGGAGCGAAAGCGUGGGGAGCGAACAGG
RNAcentral lists this ribosomal RNA (253 nucleotides) under uncultured bacterium. RNAcentral describes it as "partial 16S ribosomal RNA". It matches the Rfam family "Bacterial small subunit ribosomal RNA", at positions 524 to 776 of the family's 1533-position model. The record is from RNAcentral.